Molecule: ribosomal RNA, 465 nt
Filed under: uncultured bacterium
Lineage: Bacteria
Description: partial 16S ribosomal RNA
Rfam family: Bacterial small subunit ribosomal RNA
Source: RNAcentral
CCUACGGGCGGCAGCAGUAGGGAAUCUUCCACAAUGGGCGAAAGCCUGAUGGAGCAACGCCGCGUGGGUGAAGAAGGUCUUCGGAUCGUAAAACCCUGUUGUUAGAGAAGAAAGUGCGGGAGAGUAACUGUUCACGUUUCGACGGUAUCUAACCAGAAAGCCACGGAUAACUACGUGCCAGCCGCUGCCGUAAUACGUAGGGGGCAUGCGGUAUCCGGAUUUAUUGGGCGUAAAGGGAACGCAGGCGGUCUUUUAAGUCUGAUGUGAAAGCCUUCGGCUUAACCGGAGUAGUGCAUUGGAAACUGGGAGACUUGAGUGCAGAAGAGGAAAGUGGAAGUCGAGGUGUAGCGGUGAAAUGCGUAGAUAUAUGGAAGAACACCAAUGGCGAAGGCGGCUCUCUGGUCUGUAACUGACGCUGAGGUUCGAAAGCGUGGGUAGCAAACAGGAUUAGAUACCCCAGUAGUC